Molecule: ribosomal RNA, 431 nt
Filed under: Babesia sp.
Lineage: Eukaryota; Apicomplexa; Aconoidasida; Piroplasmida; Babesiidae
Description: SSU rRNA
Rfam family: Eukaryotic small subunit ribosomal RNA
Source: RNAcentral
GACACAGGGAGGUAGUGACAAUAAAUAACAAUGCCGGGCUUUUAUAAGUCUGGCAAUUGGAAUGAGAACAAUUUAAAUCCCUUAUCGAGGAUCAAUUGGAGGGCAAGUCUGGUGCCAGCAGCCGCGGUAAUUCCAGCUCCAAUAGCGUAUACUAAAGUUGUUGCAGUUAAAAAGCUCGUAGUUGAAUUUCUGGUCUCGGACAUCGGUCUGCCUCGAACGAGGUACGUACCAGUUGUCUGAAUCCAUCCUCGGGGAAGACAUGUCUGUCAUUCAGUUGAUGGGCAUGGGAUCCUCGUCAUUUACUGUGAGCAAAAUAGAGUGUUCAAAGCAGGCUUGUGCCGUUGAAUACAUUAGCAUGGAAUAAUAAGAUAGGACCUUGGUCUAUUUUGUUGGUUUGUACUCCAAGGUAAUGGUUAAUAGGAGCAGUUGGG